CCCCUUCCACGAGAUCUUCCACCGCGACUUCGGCCCCGACGGCGGCAUGGGCCUGGUCCACAUGCUCUUUCGAUGCAACAUCCUCACCUUCGUGGGCGGCGGCUCCGAACAAGGUGAUGGUCUGGGAUGACCACCAGUCCCGGUGCAUUGACGAGCUCUCCUUCCGGUCGGAGGUGAAGGGCGUCCGUCUCUGGCGUGACCGCAUCGCGGUGGUCCUGGCCCACAAGAUUGAGACUAUUGCUAACCCUAAGGGCCUCUGCAACCUCUCUCACGUUUCCGCCAUGGUGUUGGUGUGCCCUGGCCUGUAGAAGGGCCAGGUUAGGGUUGAGCAUUACGCCUCCAAGAGGACCCUUCGCCCUCACUCACGAUGGACACUUGCUUGCCACCGCCAGCUCCAAGGGCACCCUCGUUAGGCUCUUCAACACCCUCGAUGGUUCCUUGCUCCAAGAGGUUCCGUUUAAAAAAGAAAAUGGUCAAAUGGUUACAGUCCCACUUUUCCACUGGUAGCUUUGUGUUGGGAAUCUUGUGAUGAUGGUAGCUUUGGUGCCCAGCCCAUGGCUGUUUCAAGGGAGUUUCUAUUUCUGAUUUAAUAGAGACAGAUGGUGUUCUCAUACUUUUUACUUGAUUUUGGAGAAUGUCUUAUUCCCUAGUUGUUCUUCACUUAUUUUCUCUCGAAUGUGUAUAUGACUUGUUUUUUAAUGAUAAUAAUAAGGAGACUUAAAUUUGUUAUUUCUUAAUAAAUUUGCUUGAACUUUACAUUUACAUAUUCCAGUUUUAUAGUUCCUUAAUACAUCUGGCUUAGUGUAUUUAACUGUGCGCUACUUAACAAAGCAAAAGCUAUGUGCAUGCAAGGGGUUUUUCUAUUCAUCAUGUGUUUAAACAUAUCACGGUAACAGUCUUUGUUGCUUAUUAUUUUCAUUUGAUUCUUUUAGUUACUCUUUAAAGUCUUUCUUAUUAUAGAUCCUUUUUGUUUUACAUUGCAGGAGUAUGCAGCGAUAGCUUUGCAGUAUUUUCUUGGGAACCAAACUGAAACGUGUCUGUAUUCUGUUUUGCACUGGAUUUGCAGCUACGAGACUCUAUUUUCAAAAUCAUGCAGCAAAUGUUCACGGCUACUUGCCAGGGUUUUAAUUCGUAUGGUCAGGGUUUUAAUGGGUGAUACCAUGUGUUUUCAACCUUUUCAAGAUCCUGGUGACUGCAAAAAUCUUUGUUACAUAAUUCAGGCUCAUAUGGAAAUGCUGGGAAAUGGCCAUGCCUUUGUUGUUGCACGGCCUCCUAAGCGGUAUUACUGGGACACCUCCUUCUUCUGCCUCAACCCAUAGUCCUGGUCAUGGUAAGGAAAGACUUGAUGAUGAAAGACUUUAUGAAGAUCAACCUUAUGAUGAUGAAGAGACUGAAUGAUGUUAUUUACAUGGAUGGAUGACUAGCUAUGCAUAAUAUUUCUAGAUGACACUUUAUUUUGAAAUUUAGAAAUUUUAUGUAAACUUUGACAUCUUUGGAUGAUUUUAUUUGGAGUUUUAUGCUUUUGAAUUGUCA
This is a non-coding RNA of Cajanus cajan (pigeon pea), 1533 nucleotides long. NCBI's taxonomy places the organism in Eukaryota, Viridiplantae, Streptophyta, Magnoliopsida, Fabales, Fabaceae. The record is from RefSeq and is a predicted model, not a curated record.